UUGAAAAUUAUAGAAAUAUAACUUGUUCCUCUUCUUGCUAAUGUUACUAUAUCUUUUUUAUUUCAUUUCAAAAAAAAAAAUUAAUUUUUACUUCAGAUUCUGAUCUUUGAUUCAUAUUCUUAUCUUUGAAAUAAUAAUAUCAUUCAAAUAAGAAAGAAGAGAAAUAUUCGAACUUGAAUCUUUUGUUUUCUAAUUUAAAUAAUGUAAAAAUGGAAUGUAAGUAGGCGAGGGGGCGGAUGUAGCCAAGUGGAUCUUCAUUUAGAAUAUAUCUGGUUGAUAAAAGAGUGGAAAGACUGAAAAGUCCCUUUAAAAAAAUGACUUAAAUUACUAAUCGAGGGCUACGAUGGUUGAAGCAACGGUCCGUCACUAGCCUAAUGGUCGAUCGGAUCGUCCAUCGCACGACGGUUAGAAAAGAACACACUGCCUCAAUGUGACGGUCUCAGUGAUGGUCCAUGGAAAAUUCAACGAUCUUUUGGAAGGUCCGUCGCAUGUUGACCAAGAUAAGUCCAUACUGCCUUAGCGGUGACAAUCUCAGUGAUGGUCCGUCGUCCUGGCCGUCACACUUAAGAUAGAAAAGAGAGUUAUUGCCUUGGUUGUGAUGGUCCAAGCGAUGGUCCGUCGUACACUCGAUGGUCCAUCAACCUAUCCAUCACACCUAGGUGGUUCCAACAACUCUCGAUAAAACGACCAUAACUUCCCACCCUAAUGAUUGAUUUGACCGAAAUUGGUAUCGUUGGAAAGAUAAUUCAAUGCUCUACAUGAAAAAAAGUCAAAUUUAAAAAAAUUCUAUAUGGUUAAUUAAACACCAAUCACUUAGGAUGUUUUUACUCAAUAUAACAGGGCCGGAAUUACACUUUACUUGACACGCUCAAGGCUCAAAUUACAAGAGAACUUUGUGGGGUCUUACAAUUAUCUCCCUUUGAAACAUUCGUCCUUGAAUGUCGAUAGUUAGACUAGGAACACAGGAAAACAGAGUACACAUAGCUAAAGAAAUUAGCUAAACAGGCUCAAAAUCUUUCUAAACUAUUAAAUACCUUGGAAAUUACAAGAACUCAUGCAAGAAUAGAUAUAUAGAUGAACUUUAGAUUAGAAGGGAUGAAUUAAGGAAGAAUAAUACCUUCGGAUCGAUCUGAACUCGCAGAAAAGAGGUGCGAGUACUUGGCUCGCAUGUCUACUUUUGUCUCCCAAGUAGCACCCUCAACUGACUGGUUCCGCCAUAAAACUUUGACCAAGGGAACCUCUUUUUUCCUCAGCCUAUGGAUCUGAAAAUUUAGGAUCUCAAAAGGAAUAUCAUCGAAGGAAAUACUAUUCUAAAUAUCAGCACUCUCUAAGGGAUCUACUACAACAGAAUCACCAAUAUGCUUUUUAAGCAUGGAAACAUGAAAAAUAGGAUGAAUGACUGAUAACUCCACAGGCAACUCAACCUCAUAGGCUACUUUCCCAACACGGCUCAAAACUCUAUACGAGCCAACAUAACGGGGACAAAACUUUUCCUUUUUACCAAACUUCUUCACCUCUUUCAUGGGUGAAAUCUUCAAGUACACCAAAUCACCUACUUCAAACUCAAGAUCGCUUCUCCUCAUAGCGGCAUAUGACUUUUGACGACUCUGAGUUGUCUUUAACCUCUCUCUAAUCAACUUAACUUUCUCUAUAGCUUCAAAAACUACAUGAGGUCCAAUCACGACAGCUUCACCCACUUUAAAGCAACCUUCUACAUCUUCUACCAUACAAGGCCUUAACUGGUGCCAUUCCGAUGCUAGAUGGGUAACUAUUGUUAUAGGUAAACUCUAUUAAUGGCAAAUGCUCAUCCCAACUACCUUUGCAAUCAAGACCACACACCCUCAACAUAUUUUCUAGGGUCUGAAUUGUCCUCUUACUAGACCAUAUUUUUGCGGAUGAAAAGCAGAACUCAAAAGAAUUGGGUACUAAGACAAUGCUGAAACGCCCUCCAAAACUGAGAAGUAAAUUGAGUACCCCUAUAUGAAAUGAUAGACGAGGUAACUCCAUGCAUCUUGACUAACUCCUAGAUAUAUAAUCUAGCAUAAUCCUCCACUGUAUAAGAUGUAUGCAUGGGAAAAAGUGUACGAACUUAGUCAGCCUAUCUAUAAUAACCCAAAUAGAAUCAUGAUGACGACACGAAAGAGGUAACCCGAUCACGAAGUCCAUAUUCACUACCUCCUAUUUCCAAGUGGGUAUACUAAACUCUUGCAUCACACCACCAGGUCUUUGGUGCUCUACCUUAAAAUGUUGGCAUGUUGCACACAUUUUUACAAACUCAGCUAUAUCCUUCUUUAUAACAUUCCACCAAUAGAUUUCCCAUAAGUCGUGGUACAUUUUGGUAGUGCCGGGAUGAAUAGAGUACCGCGCGCCAUGCACUUCAGCCAUAAUCCUCUUCUUCAUAUCAUCAACACAUGGAACGUAUAAUCUACCCUGCAAUCUCAACACGGUAUCUCCCCAUUGGGAGAAAAUCUCUACCUUUUGGCCCUUAACUGUCUCUUUCAGUCUGACCAAACUAAGAUCUCUAUCUUGCUUCUCCUUCACUUUCGAAACUAAAGAGGAUUCAAAACUACUUUGCACCAAAGCACUUCCCUCAGCUGAAUCAAGCAACCUAAUAUCCAAUCUAGCUAGAAAAUGCAUAUCACAAGCUAAAUCUUUCUUACCUUCCUCUACAUGAGCAACACUACCCAUACACAAUCUGCUAAGGGCAUCCGCCACUAUAUUGACCUUGCUCGGGUGAUACAACACACUCAUAUCAUAGUCUUUUAACAACUCUAACCACCUGCUCUACCUAAGAUUCAACUCCCUCUGAGGAAACACGUACUGCAGGCUCUUAUGAUCAGUAAACAUAUCAACAUGAACACUAUAAAGAUAGUGUCUCCAGAUUGUCAAAGAAAAAACCACAGCAGCUAACUCAAGAUCAUGGGUUGGGUAAUUCUUCUCAUGCAGCUUUAAUUGUCUAGAGGCAUAGGCUAUAACCUUACCUCUUUGCAUCAACAUACAACCCAAACCAGCUCUAGAGGCAUCACAAUACACUAUAAAACCAUCUUUACCAUUAGGCAAAGUCAACACAGGGGCUGAAGUAAGUCGAGUCUUCAGCUCUAGAAAACUCUUCUGAUAGGAAUUUGACCACUUGAACUUAACUUUCUUUUGGGUCAACAGGGUCAUGAAAGAUGUAAUAGAAGAGAAACCUUCAUCAAGAUAGCGGUAAUAGCCUGCUAGACCUACGAAAUUUCUAAUGUCAGACGGAGAGAUAGAUCUAGGCCAAUUUCUUACAGCUUUUAUCCUUUAGGAAUCAACUCAAAUACCUUCGGCUGAAACAAUAUGACCCAGAAAGGCUACAGAACUUAGCCAAAAUUCACACUUACUGAAUUUGGCGAACAACUGGUGACCUCUAAGAGUUUGCAAGACAAUUAUAAGGUGAUCUGCAUGAUCAUGCUUAUUGUGGGAGUAGACAAGGAUGUCAUCUAUGAACACUAUGAAAAAUAUAUCAAAAUAUUGCUUGAACACUCGAUUCAUGAGGUCCAUAAAAGUUAUUGGGGCAUUGGUUAGCCUAAAAGACAUGACUAGAAACUCAAAGUGACCAUAGCUGGUUUGGAAGGCUGUCUUUGGAAUAUUACAUUCCCUCACUAUAAGUUGAUGAUAGCCAGAUCUAAGGUCUAUCUUGGAGAAAUAACUUGCACCUUGAAACUGAUCAAACAGGUUAUCAAUUCUCGGAAGGGGAUAUUUAUUUUUAACUAUGACCUUGUUAAGCUUACGAUAGUCAACGCACAUAUGCAAAGAACCAUCUUUCUUUCGUAUGAAUAAAAUUGGUACGCCCCAAGGAGAAAUACUGGGCCUUAUAAAACCUUUGUCUAAAAGAUCUUUGAGUUGCUCUUUCAACUCCUUAAGAUCAGAAGUUGCCAUACGGUAUGGCAGAAUAGAAAUAGGCUGAUUUUCAAGAAAAAAGUUAAUCCCAAAUUCUAUCUCUCCAUCGGGAGGUACCCUUGGGAUAUCUUCCGACAAAAUAGCUAGAAACUCAUUAACAAUGUUGACUGACUGAAUAGUUGGAGCCUCAAACUUAGUGUCUUUUACUCUAACUAGUUGAUAGAUGUAACCUUUGGAUAUUUCCUUUUUAGCUUUGAGAUAGGAGAUAAAAUGACUCUUGGGAGAUACCAAACUCCCAGACCACUCAAAAAUUGGUUCAUCAGGAAACUGAAACUUGGCCACAUAGGUAUGAUAGUUUAUAGAUACAUAACAAGAAUGAAGCCAAUCCAUAUCCAGAAUAAGCUCAAAAUCCACCAUGUCUAACUGUAUCAAAUCAACAUGUAUGACUCUAUGAAGAACAGUAACAGGAAAACCUCUAUACACUUGUUUAGGGACAACUGACUCCCCUAUAGGUGUAGAAACGAGGAAAGGCUCUGGGAUCUUUUUGAGAUUCAUUUUGAAAUUCACAGCCAUAAGUAGGGUCACAUAGGAGGGACUUGACCCGGGGUCCAACAACACAUAAACAUCAAAACAAAUAACACGAAACAUACCAGUAACAACAUUGUGAGACUCCUUCUGCUCCUAACGAGAUGGUAAGGCAUAGAGUCUGUUCUGGCGCUGACCGCCAGUAGUGCAAGAUAAAGCACCCUGAACAGGGGUGGUAGAAGGGCCAGAAGCUAGUGGACUAGUAGCCGCUGCCUAAGGUCGGGCAUCUAUGGUCCCCUACCUAGCAUACGGGCAAUGUCUAAGUCUAUGGCCUAGCUUUCCACAACCAAGAAAAGCCCUUAAAUCUAUGAAACACUCACUAGGAUAAUCCCUACCACACUUACCACAAGGAGGAUAACAGGGCCUGUUACCAACACUGUUCUGCAACCUAGACAUAAAAGACCUACUCCCUUGUUCCUGCCUUCCUCUUAUUAUUAAUAAUUAUAAUUGAGAAGGAUUUUUUGUAGCCACGACUUUGGUCGUAGUAAGUUUAAACCCAUAAACCCAGUCCACUUGCAUUUUGGCUCAACUUUAUCCCAGUUUUGCCGAGGGAGCAACCCCAUUUUUCAAGGCAUGGGAGCACUAGCUAAUGAAGGUGAUAGAAUAGAUGAACAUCUCUAAAACUGAGGGAGGUUCCCUCCAUAGAACCUAGGAUGACUAUACUCAUGCUGCUCAGAUCUAGCUCUCUUGUUACCCCUUACUCUCUCUCUGUCUAAUCUUAUCCACUUUUAUCUACUGUGCAUGCAUUAUCAACCUAGACAAAUCCAUAUCCCUAUAUAGCAUCGCAGUCCUACACUCUUUCCGCACCAACCGAGAAACAUCUAUCAUGAACUUGCUCAUACUAGUGCGGGUGUCAGAAAUUAAAUCAGGAGCAUCUUGGCCAACUGGUUAAACUUCAAGUAGUACUUCUUAACAGUCAUGGAGCCCUUCCUCAAGUGCAUAAACUCCUCAAUAUUUGCUUCCAUUAUCUAAAGCAGAAAGAACUUUUCCAAGAAUGCAUCUUGGAACACCUGCCAAGUCAUAGGAGUAGUAUCCUCACCUUGACCCUUCCUCUAUGAUACAAUCCAAUUAUAAGCUAUGUCAUUCAACUUGUAAGAUGCCAACUCAACACUUUUUUCCUUAGAAAUAUGCAUCACUUGCAUGAUCUUUCUCACCUCCUCAAGGUACAACUAUGGGUACUCACCUUCCCUGGACCCAUAUAACUCUGGAGAAUUCAUCCGCAUGAAAUCACAGAUCCUAGAAGUAGUUACAUCACCUCCCUGCUGAUUUAUAACUACGGCCUAGUUAUUGGCCUUAACAUUAGCGGUGACUGCAUGUGCUAACGCCUUAAAGGCUACUCGAAACUCAAUAUGAGACACAGUCUCAUUCAAAGGAUCAACAGGUGGGGGUUGUUCAUCAUUGUUUCCAUGGGCAUUUGCUCUUUGGAGAGGAAUUUUCUAAAAUAGGAGAGUACAAAUUAUUAGAUGAGAGAGACAACCGUAGGCACGAUAGAAUCUAAAAGAGAGAAAUAACUUUUCCUAAAAUAUUUUGUAGCCUCAUAUUUUGUAGCCACUUUCUCAUAGAUGUGCCGUGCUACACACUGAUGAUCAAGACUCUACUCAACGCGACUUGUCAAAAUCCCUAGGACUUUUUAAAAACCUUAUGCUUUGAUACUAAGUUUGUAACGACCAAAAAUCACCUCCCGGGAAGUCACACGGUGCUUAGGUCUACAAGUAGCCCCAAGUUAACCCUUUGAGCCUAUCACUGCUCAUAAUAACUCAUUCAAGAAGAAAUAUACAAAACAUCAUCACUAUUAUAUCAAAUAAAAGGAAAUACGAAGGUAAUACUCAGUCUAAAUGACCACAAUACUGGAAAUUUCAACACAGCCACAGUCUGAUAACUAGUUUAACAAAUCCUCUAUUACUCCAUAAACUCAAGAGCUAUUAGGACAUGUCCUAAACUAAUCAAACUGAAUUGAAAGUAAUAACAUCAACACUUGAAUACUAAAAUAUCUGAAGAAAUGUCCUCGUACCAUGAGGACUUACCACUAUAGAAUAGUAGAUGAAGGUACUUGAAAAUCACUAACGAGGCUGGGACUGAGCACCUGAACCUACAUUAUAAGACAAUAUAGCACAUAGACAUAUAUGUGGAUCAACACUUAGAAAUGUACUGAGUAUAUGGGGGUGUAUGCAUUUACAUAAAGCAAUAUCAAUACCCUUUAAUCAAAUCAUGCAUACAAAUAGGAAUGAAUCACAUGGCUCUAAUAAUUCUAAAAUGUAAAGCUCAUAAAUCAUUUAGAAUGAAGCAUGCAACACAAAUCUCAUGAGUCAUUAUACUUUGGCUUUAAAAUUUGUGCUCUCCUCUUAUUCUCAUUACUCAUAGGAUGAAGGACGCUUUAAAAAAUAUUUUCAACUCACGCAUAUAUCUCAUGGAGAGUAAACCUUCUUUUUUGCUCAAGAACUUAUAACACUUUUGAACUCAAACACUCGGAACUCGGAAUCAUGACUUUGGUUUAAAAACGGAUGAUCAACUCUUAUUAGUAGAUAAAAUUACUUCCUUCUAUGGAAAAUACUCAAAAGAAAUUUUUCACUUUAGAAAAUAUCUCAUCUCAAAGCUUUAGGGGAAAUAUUUUAUCUCAAUGGAAAAUACUUUAGUUUAGGGAUGUUCUCUUAACCGACAUAAACCAUGCGAGCUACAUAGAGUCCAAUGUCUUGUCCUCCUAAGGAAGAAACCUCACGUUGGGGAGAGACAUCAUACUCUUGCCAAGGAGUAUAACCUCAACUUAGUGAUCACUUAUCUCAGCCUCAGGCCUAAAAUCUCAAACCUAUGGUGGCACUUAGUUUUAGGGUAAGAAACUGUGGUAACUUACCCAACUAGGUGCUAAAUACUACUCCCUUUAGUUUAUCUAACUCAUCUCAUAGAAAUCCACAUUCAAAAUAAUCUCAUGGUUCAUAAGAACCCAAUAAUCAAAUAUGUAAUCUCAUAUGGUAGAGUGGAUUUCAAAACUCUAUGACCUUUAGGUCAAAACAUUUCUCAUUAAUCUCAAAAUUCUUAAAUCAUGGGUGCUUAUAGAACAAUGGUUCAUAAAAUUGCAAGUGUCAAGUAGGGGUUAAUGACCCAUAAUUCAAUCUCAAGUUAAAACUUAUCAUAAUGCAUAAUAGAUAGUAUAUAGAUUCAUAAUUCAUGAAAAAAUCUGGAAGUUACAACAAUUUGUCUUAGAAUAUCAACAUACUCAUAUACUUCAAUUUGUAGAACAUUGAAACUCUUAAAUUCUCAAGGAGUCACAACAUAGGGUAUAAACCUAGCUUUAAUUUAUUAAGAAAACAUGCAAAAUCAUGUUAUUUGACUUUCAAUUCAUGGGAAACAUCAAAAUAUUGCAAUCAAUAACAAUGGGUGAAAAACCCUAAUUCAAUAUCAUGUAAAAUCUCAUAGAUUGCGGAAAAUUAUAGUUUAAAUAAGCCUUUGGGCACAAAGGUGAAAGUAUGACCCUUGUUCAAAACCCCACAUACCUUAGAUUAUGAAAUGAGAUGAAUAAGCUUACUUCAAACUCCUCUUAUUACUCUUGAGAGAGGUUUGUUGCAACCCUUGAACUUGAAGAACUUAAAUCUCAACUCAAUUUGAAGAAUCUAUGGUGAGUUCUUAGAUUUAUUAGAGAAGGGUUUUAGAUUUGAUCUUGAGGGAGAAACCUUAGCUCUCUUAUGUUUUGAGAUGAUGAAUGAAGUCAUUAGCUUUGUUUAGAAUAUAUCUGGUUGGUAAAAGAGUGGAAAGACCGAAAAGUCCCUUUAAAAAAAUUACAUAAAAUACUGAUCGGGGGUUGGGAUGAUCGAAAAGACAGUCCGUCGCUAGCUUGACGGUCCGUCGAUUGUCCAUUGCACGUCGGUCAGAAAAUAAUACACCUCCUCAAUGUAAUGGUCUCAUUGAUGGUCCAUCAUAUACUCGAUGGUCUGUCGGAUCAUCCAUCGCAUGUUGACCAAGAUGAGGUCACACUGCCUCAGCGUCGACGGUCUGUCACAGUCUUAACUGUCUGUAAUCCUGACCCUCGUACUUUGGGACAGAAAAGGGAGUUACUACCUUGGUUGCGAUGGUACAAGAAAUGGUCCAUCAUACACUUGACAUUCCGUCAAUCUGUCCAUCUUACCUAGAUAGUUCCAACAACUCUCGAUAAAACGGCCAUAACUUCCCACCCUAAUGCCGGAUUUGGAUGAAAUUGGUAUCGUUGGAAAGCUAAUUCAAUGCUCGAUAUGAAAAAAAGUCAAAAUUAAUAAAAUUAUAUAUAGUUUAAAUACCAAUCACUUGGAUAGUAUCUUCUCAAUAUUUUAGGGCUGGAAUUACACUUCACUUUACACAUUCAAGGCUCAAACUACAGGGGAACUUUGCCUAGUCAUACACAACCCCUCAUAGAAAAAUUACAUGGUGACUGAGUAGGAGUUACUAAUGGUGGUGUUUGAAUUUCAUAAUUUCCAGUCAUAUCUAAUUGGUACCAAAGUCAUUGUGCAGACCAAUUUUGUAGCCCUUAGGUAUCUUAUGUCAGAUGCUAAGUCCAAUUUUAUUCGAUGGGUACCAUUGUUGCAAGAAUUUGACUUUGAGGUUAAGGAUUAAAAAGCAUAGAAAAUCAGGUUGUGGAUCAUCUAUUCCACCUAGAAGAGGAGGCGAUGCUUGAGCUAAGGGAUGAUCUUGAGAUUGAUGAUCCUUUUCCAGAUGAGCGCGUCUUAACAACAUCACAAAACUUAAUCCCCUAGUUUUCUGACUUUGCCAAUUAUUUGGGAAGUGACCUUUUUUUGGAAACACUUGUUGUUUCAGCUACGAAAAUGAUUUAUGCUUCAGGUAUGUAAGUUCUUUUUGAAUGAGCCUUACUUAUUUUGGGUUUCUAUGGAUGGUGUGAUUCCUAGAUGUAUUCUUGAAGUGGAGAUAAUAAGUAUUUUGGUGGCCUAUCAUUCAUCACCGAUUGGGGGUCACCAUGAUAGUACUCGUACGGCCCAUAAUAUUUUGUAAUGUGGUUAUUACUAGCUGACAAUUUACAAAGAUGCAUAUGACUAUACUUGGGCCUAUGACCAAUGUCAGAGGAAGGGCAAUAUCUCAUGGAAAAAUGAGCUCUCUAUGACAUCGAUUCUUGAGCUAGAGUUACUUUAUGUAUGGGGUAUUGACUUUAUGAGUUUGUUUAUGAUUUUUCAUGGUAUAAAGUACAUAUUAGUUGCAGUCAACUAUAUGUAUAAGUGGGUGGAAGAAGUUUCACUCCCAAUAAUGAUGGUGAUGUAUCACUGCAUUUUUGAAGAAGAAUUUUUUCUCUCAAUUCGGUACCACAUGAGCCAUCAUUAGUGAUAGUGGGUCCAAUUUUUUCAAUGGUUUAUUGAUAAUGCUCAACUUACACGUCAAUUUGGGUGCAAGGUGGUCCUCAUUAAUAUAUUUACCCAACUUUGGAGUCGGGGUUGAAUCCAUGAGGAACAAUGUGAGUGGCAAUCAAAUUAAUUUGAAAUAACAGUUACAAGUUAAAUUCAAACAAAUGGUACAAAAAGAUAAAAUGUGGGAGGUGAGUUCCUACACUAAUGUUUCAUUUUGGGAUUUUCUUGUAUAAAUUUAGGGCUACGAAUAAUUAUAGUUAUAGCAAUUAUGAAUGGAUCUUGGGAUUACGCAUUACUAAGAGAGUGACAUGUGGGAGUUAGUCAUCAACAUCGAUUUAGUAGGUCAAAUAUGGGUAGGUUUGGUUAUAGAUUCUGAUGCUAGUCUUUCAACAAAACACCAGACUUUCACCCAUUGAUCCUUUAGAAUACCUAAUGGGUGUGUUCAAUAAUUAGCAACCAAAACCUCAAUUAAGGUAUCCCUAUUUCUAGGAUGACACUCAUGGCAUAGUUAACCUCACUUUCACUGUUAUUUCUAAGAUAGUGAUAAUUUAGCAAACUACACACAUAAUUGCCUAUUAUUGCUUUGGUCUCCAUAUACUUCUUUUGAGGAUGAUAUAGAUUCCUAAUCUUCACCCAAAAUCCUUCUUUCAAAGAUAGCCUUGGAUUUUCUAGAUCUUGGAUCUUUUACCCAUCAAACCCUUGUGGGUAUUUAGAGCUUUCACCCAAAAAAUCCCAACCAAACUAGCAUAGCAAUAAUAGAACGCAUAAACAUGAACUACCAAAUAGAUGCUAACAAUAACAACCCAGACACACUUUAAUCCCUAUUCACACAUAACCCCAAGAGUGAGAUUUAGCUACAUAUAAGAUAAAUAAGCAUAGAUAUACCCAUAAUCACCAUUAAAUAAAUUUGUGGUAGAUCGAAGAAAAUUUUACUUCAAACUUGGUUCUUCCAUAAUAUAAACAUUGGAAGUGAGAUAAUCUUCCACUUGUAAAGUCUCCAAUGUAUUCUUCACCUAAAAUUUAAACAAUAUUUUCUUCUCCAAAAAUGGAGUCUACAAAACCCUAAGUUAAACUAGAGGAAUAUUGGGGAAGAAGAAAUGUGAUGGAAUGAAUCCUACAUCAAUUAGGGUUUAUGGAAUGAAUCCUACAUCAAUUAGGGUUUUAGUGUUUUUGUUCAAAUUGGGAUCAACACAUGUAAUUAUAGUAUUGCUCUUGGUAUGAACAUUUCCGCCAAGCUAUGAUCGCAUAAGUAUGGCUGCGACCUUGACUACACAACCAGGAUUGACUUUUGCUCUCGCGGUUGAUUGACCAUCUUGACUGAACACGAUCGCGGCCCAUGGACCGCAACAGCGGUAACUGAGUCUAGUUUACUGCAAGUCUUUAGCUGUAUUUUUCUACUCCUUUUUGAUCAUUUCAAGCUCCAAUCCACAUCUCUUUGUCUUUACAACUCCUAUACCUGCAACGAGUGGAUAUCAGUACAUUAAAUCACAGUUAUGACUUAUUUACUCAUUUGAGACAAGGUAAUGUGCACAAAAAAUAAGUGUGAAUAAGUGGUAAAAUCACUAAUCAUCAACACCGCCAACUUAAGACCUUGCUUGUCCUCAAGCAACACUACCUGUUUUCCAUGAGCCACAAUUAUUUAUGCCCAAAUUGUAUGUCUUAAAGUCCAUAAUGGUUCCAACUUGAAUUGCAACCAUAAAUAGCUCAUUGGACACGUGCUAGACUAAUUUUACAAACCCCUCAUUAUAGAAUACAAUACUCAAAGAAUGCAGAAGACUUUGAAGAGUAAUAAAACAAUAAAAACCAAUACUCUAGAAGUAGCUCACCUUUUGACUAAAACUAAAGCAUACUCCAGUUGCCUCAUUAUCCGGGAUGUGAGAAAAAUUACUCACCUCAACUUGUUUUCUUGCCCAUCUCACAAGAAAGAAAAGUUUCACACACCAAACUACCGAACAAGUAACAAGGAAUUUUUAAGUGCAAAAUUCUCCCCUCACAAAAGAAAUCUCAACGCAACAAGUGUCAUGCCAUAGGGUUGCCCUUAUUUUCAAUCACCACUACAAAGAAGGUAAAAUUUUGGAGAUCUCGAAGGACUUUAUAAGCUUGUAACGUAGGUUCUGGUCAGGGUAGGAUAACAUUUAGGUAACUAGGUUACACCAUACCUUGAACAUCUACAUCACACUUUACAACUCUCCUCCUUUCGACUUUGGGCCACUCUAUUUUUCUUUAUUUCUUUGUUCAUGCCUAUCUUUUGCCUCCUUCUCCCCACUUUUAUUUUACUUUUAUUUCCAUGCAUUUUCUGACAUUUAUUUUAUGGGUACUUAUUAUUCCCAUACAUAAUUUUUUGAACAUCACUAAAAUCCAUAACAAAAUUUAUGGUAUAUAUAGAAGACUAAAACUAGAAAUAAAAGAAAAACAUGAUAAUCCAUAAAACUUGGGAACCAUCCGAAUACCUAAAAAUAUAGCAUCCAAAGGAAAACAUGAGAAAAAAUAUCCAAAACAUUAUCAAAAGAAAUAUCCAGCAAUAUAACACCAAACAAUAUAGAAUCUGGUGUCAGCCCCUACUUAAAUAAAUGCAGUGUCCAUAUUGCAUAUGCAAGAAGGAAGAGUAAAAAGGGCUCCCUAUAUCUAUAUCAUGAGCUAUCUCCUCCUAUAGACUCUGUAUUAUCAGAUAACCAUUCUGCAGGGGCAUCAUCCACACUAUCAACUCUUAGUGAAGGUAUUAGUUGGUUGGGUUUGAGAACCUUGAAUAUGCCUUUCACCCCUUCAAUAGCCUUUUGAAAAAAUUUAUCCCUCUUUUUCUCCUUCUUCACCAUCUCAUUAUGUGAGUCUUUUAGGCUCCUAUGGGAUUUAGCUAGGGAUGAAUAAGCUCUCUCCAAGAUGAAAACUAUGGUACCCUGCUUCUUCUACUCUUUUAUAUACUUAUCAUAAUCUGAUUAUGCCACAUAUGAAUGAUGAGUAGUGGAGGACUCUCCUAGUCCCUGAGGUAAUCGAGAAAAUAUCUUUCUUAUCCCCUAUAUUUGAACAGAAAUAUCA
This 12800-nucleotide long non-coding RNA is filed under the name Capsicum annuum. Its description in RNAcentral is "long non-coding RNA (CANN_LNC019429)". The record is from RNAcentral. Lineage: Eukaryota; Viridiplantae; Streptophyta; Magnoliopsida; Solanales; Solanaceae.